Arvicola amphibius (Eurasian water vole) is the source of this 103-nucleotide small nuclear RNA. The record is from RefSeq and is a predicted model, not a curated record. NCBI's taxonomy places the organism in Eukaryota, Metazoa, Chordata, Mammalia, Rodentia, Cricetidae.
GACAGGAGGAAAGACAUAUGCAAAAACGGGAACAAUACAGAGAAGACUGGCAUGGCCUCUGCACACAGAUGACUCGCAGAUUCGUGAAGAAUUCCAUAUUAGA